GAUGAACGCUGGCGGCGUGCCUAAUACAUGCAAGUCGAGCGAACGGACGAUAAGCUUGCUUCUCUGAUGUUAGCGGCGGACGGGUGAGUAACACGUGGAUAACCUACCUAUAAGACUGGGAUAACUUCGGGAAACCGGAGCUAAUACCGGCUAAUAUUUUGAACCGCAUGGUUCAAAAGUGAAAGACGGUCUUGCUGUCACUUAUAGAUGGAUCCGCGCUGCAUUAGCUAGUUGGUAAGGUAACGGCUUACCAAGGCAACGAUGCAUAGCCGACCUGAGAGGGUGAUCGGCCACACUGGAACUGAGACACGGUCCAGACUCCUACGGGAGGCAGCAGUAGGGAAUAUUCCGCAAUGGGCGAAAGCCUGACGGAGCAACGCCGCGUGAGUGAUGAAGGUCUUCGGAUCGUAAAACUCUGUUAUUAGGGAAGAACAUAUGUGUAAGUAACUGUGCACAUCUUGACGGUACCUAAUCAGAAAGCCACGGCUAACUACGUG
This 497-nucleotide ribosomal RNA is filed under the name uncultured bacterium. RNAcentral's name for it is "partial 16S ribosomal RNA". It matches the Rfam family "Bacterial small subunit ribosomal RNA", at positions 28 to 507 of the family's 1533-position model. The record is from RNAcentral.